CCUGCUCUACCCCCUCCUCCUGUGCGAUCGAUCUCCUCUCCCCCUGUUGAUCGCACAUCCUUCCUCCUCCCUGCGCCCUCUCCCCCUGCCCCAGAUCGCACGUCUCCCUCCCUGCCCUCCAGACUGAGAGCGAUCUCCCCUUCCCCUCCAGCCACGAUGCGCCCAUGCCGUCGCUCCGCUUCGCCGGGCGCCAUCUCCCUACUGUUGUUCGUGUUCUGCCCAUGCCAAACAGCAAGCAACCACCGACCAAUUCCCCCACAAAAAUACAUCGAUCCCCGGCUGCCCCUGUUCGGAGCAGUAGUACGUCGCCGCCGGUUUUCCUCCACUGAAUUUCAGGUUUUUCCCCGUCGUAGCGCCGUCCGUUCCCGAAGUCGCCGCUGAAGUUCCUCGUGGGUCUAAGCAAGGCAAGU
Long non-coding RNA from Oryza brachyantha (malo sina), 410 nucleotides. RefSeq lists it as uncharacterized. The record is from RefSeq and is a predicted model, not a curated record. The transcript is spliced from 3 exons. Lineage: Eukaryota; Viridiplantae; Streptophyta; Magnoliopsida; Poales; Poaceae.